CAAGCUGCAAGGCAAAGCAGACAAAAGCCUGUGUUUCAGAACCAAGUAAAAGAAAGUGUGUCAAGCUUGGAGGCUGGAAGGAAAAUCAGGGAAAAGGUCCUGACAAGGUCACUUGAAAGCAAGCAUAUCAAGAUUUAUGUGGAGCCAGAAUUAUUCGGGAAAAAAAAUUAAAACAUCAACUAUCAGGCUGACGAACCUCUGUGGAGCAUUGAAGCCGAAAAAGUAUUUAAGUGGGGAGCAGCAGAGAGGCAUGAGUGAUCUCAUAUGAACUCCUGAUGUGUUCAAAGGAAAUCUCAGGGGGCUGAUCCGGUAAUCCGAUGGCCAGGGUUGCCUAUGGUAGGCCAUAAAGACUAACCAGAGGCUUC
This 365-nucleotide long non-coding RNA is filed under the name Rattus norvegicus (Norway rat). Its description in RNAcentral is "long non-coding RNA NONRATT024176". The record is from RNAcentral. Lineage: Eukaryota; Metazoa; Chordata; Mammalia; Rodentia; Muridae.